GAGGAUCUGCUGCAGAAGUACUAUGUCUUACUCACUGGCCAGCAAUUCAACAUUCCCAUUCUUCAUCGAUGCUUGAGCCAUGUCAUGAAAAAUGCCAAGGACCUUUGUAAAAAACAGUGAGUACAUUUAUAUCAAUAAUUAAAAAAGAAUACAAGUUUUGUAAUGUAAAGGUCCUACUAACAGUGAUUUCAUUCGUUCCUUUUCCCAGCAUUCCAGAGAACUACAGGCUUGGAAUGCAUGUGUUUGGGCUCCUUGCAUGCUGUGAUAACUUAAAAGACAUGGAUGAUGUUGUCCAUAGUGCAGCAAUAGUGUUUUGCAGUCCUUGUAGUGGAAGGAAUGUAACAAAACACUACAACAACUUGAAAAUCCUUAUGCAAAAAAGGGGGACCCUGGAUUUGGAUGAAAAGACUGUGAUUGCUGAGGACUACAAGACUGAUGUUCAGAAUGCCCCCUUGAAGACCCAUUUCCAGGCAAUUGCUGACAAUGCAACACUGGACUGUGAGGGCGAAAGAAACAUCUUUCAUGCACCCAAAUUUAUUGCCGGUCUGGUAAAUCACCUUCUACCACAUGCAACUUUGUGGUCAUCAAUGAUGCUCGGGGACCUUGGACGUCAUGGUACUGGUCCUGCUCACCAGCAGCUCAGUAAACUCUAUAGUGACAUUCAGCAAUCCAAGAACCAGAAUUUUACACAAGACAACAGAACCCAAGGAAUCAUGGAGAAAAGCCAGUGGGAUUUGAAACAAAUCCGUAUCCAGAGAAGAAGACUGACAAGGCUUGAUGACUUUGUGGAAAUUUAUCAAAAAAUGCACGAUGCCCUCCUGCUUGAAUAUGCAGACAUGAAAAAAUCAAGACAAAAGGUUUGA
Molecule: long non-coding RNA, 863 nt
Filed under: Oreochromis niloticus (Nile tilapia)
Lineage: Eukaryota; Metazoa; Chordata; Actinopteri; Cichliformes; Cichlidae
Description: lncRNA (ENSONIG00000028156.1)
Source: RNAcentral